This 332-nucleotide ribosomal RNA is filed under the name uncultured bacterium. RNAcentral's name for it is "bacterial SSU rRNA". It matches the Rfam family "Bacterial small subunit ribosomal RNA", at positions 202 to 523 of the family's 1533-position model. The record is from RNAcentral.
UCUUCGGACCUCGCGCCAUCAGAUGAGCCUGCGUCGGAUUAGCUUGUUGGUGAGGUAAUGGCUCACCAAGGCGACGAUCCGUAGCUGGUCUGAGAGGACGAUCAGCCACACUGGGACUGAGACACGGCCCAGACUCCUACGGGAGGCAGCAGUGGGGAAUAUUGGACAAUGGGCGUUCAAGCCUGAUCCAGCAAUGCCGCCGUGUGUGAAGAAGGCCUUAGGGUUGUAAAGCACUUUCAGUAGGGAAGAAAAGACUUUGGCUUAAUACGCUCGAGUCUUGACGUUACCUACAGAAGAAGCACCGGCUAACUCUGUGCCAGCAGCCGCGGUAA